AGACCCGAAACCCGGUGAUCUAGCCAUGGGCAGGUUGAAGGUUGGGUAACACUAACUGGAGGACCGAACCGACUAAUGUUGAAAAAUUAGCGGAUGACUUGUGGCUGGGGGUGAAAGGCCAAUCAAACCGGGAGAUAGCUGGUUCUCCCCGAAAGCUAUUUAGGUAGCGCCUCGUGAAUUCAUCUCCGGGGGUAGAGCACUGUUUCGGCAAGGGGGUCAUCCCGACUUACCAACCCGAUGCAAACUGCGAAUACCGGAGAAUGUUAUCACGGGAGACACACGGCGGGUGCUAACGUCCGUCGUGAAGAGGGAAACAACCCAGACCGCCAGCUAAGGUCCCAAAGUCAUGGUUAAGUGGGAAACGAUGUGGGAAGGCCCAGACAGCCAGGAUGUUGGCUUAGAAGCAGCCAUCAUUUAAAGAAAGCGUAAUAGCUCACUGGUCGAGUCGGCCUGCGCGGAAGAUGUAACGGGGCUAAACCAUGCACCGAAGCUGCGGCAGCGACACUGUGUGUUGUUGGGUAGGGGAGCGUUCUGUAAGCCUGUGAAGGUGUACUGUAAGGUAUGCUGGAGGUAUCAGAAGUGCGAAUGCUGACAUAAGUAACGAUAAAGCGGGUGAAAAGCCCGCUCGCCGGAAGACCAAGGGUUCCUGUCCAACGUUAAUCGGGGCAGGGUGAGUCGACCCCUAAGGCGAGGCCGAAAGGCGUAGUCGAUGGGAAACAGGUUAAUAUUCCUGUACUUGGUGUUACUGCGAAGGGGGGACGGAGAAGGCUAUGUUGGCCGGGCGACGGUUGUCCCGGUUUAAGCGUGUAGGCUGGUUUUCCAGGCAAAUCCGGAAAAUCAAGGCUGAGGCGUGAUGACGAGGCACUACGGUGCUGAAGCAACAAAUGCCCUGCUUCCAGGAAAAGCCUCUAAGCAUCAGGUAACAUCAAAUCGUACCCCAAACCGACACAGGUGGU
This 956-nucleotide ribosomal RNA is filed under the name Escherichia coli. RNAcentral's name for it is "partial 23S ribosomal RNA". It matches the Rfam family "Bacterial large subunit ribosomal RNA", at positions 711 to 1667 of the family's 2925-position model. The record is from RNAcentral. Lineage: Bacteria; Pseudomonadati; Pseudomonadota; Gammaproteobacteria; Enterobacterales; Enterobacteriaceae.